ACAAUUAAUAUUUUGAGAGUUGAAACAUAGAUGCCGAAUACAACUAAACAUCAUCUUUGGUUCCUCCAAUGUCUAUUCCCGAGUUCAAAAAAUGAAAAUGUCAACUUUUGACAAAAAAUUGAACAGGGCACAACUGAUUGGCCCUAAUGACUUGCAAUCAUGAACAGUAAUCCACUAUUCUAUACUUCUCUUGCCAGAUCAAAGGAUGCUAACAAUAUCUUGUGUAGACAGGUAAUUAUUGAAUUGCUUGUCAUAAUGUUGAAAUGGCUGAUUCUCCUUCAUUCAACAGCGACUACAGAAGUUUGAGAAUGCCAUGCUCACAUGUUUUGACAAUUCAGGAUGGAAUUUCUUCUUUACUCGUUAGAUCUUCCAAAUUGACAUUCAACUCUAAGCCCAUGUUUAAUAGACCGACGAUGGCAGGUAUGUCUGAUUUCAAGGCAGCAGCUACUGCCUUCUUAUUCUCCUCUGGCUUGUGCUUAACUACAUCCAAAGGCCACUCACUGACUAGUUUCUGAAGUUGAACGUUAACUCCAGACUUCUUGGCGUCAGGUAAAGUCUGAUUAAGGACUUGAAUGACAGCAGCAGCAUCCUCAAGCUUACGUUCUAGUAUUAGACCCUUGGCACAUGAAAAAGCACUCACAAGAGUGUGCUGUUGCAUUAACUCAGAUCUCAACUUCUCAAUUUGCCAUAACGAUUCAGUAUCUCCUCUUUUGAUAGCAAAAUCCAUCCAUAUGUCAAAUGCAGUUUUUCGUAGUUUUACGCCAGCCUUGAGAAACUUUUUUGAAUACUUCGAGAUCAACUCCCA
This 805-nucleotide unclassified non-coding RNA is filed under the name Hevea brasiliensis (rubber tree). The record is from RNAcentral. Lineage: Eukaryota; Viridiplantae; Streptophyta; Magnoliopsida; Malpighiales; Euphorbiaceae.